Molecule: long non-coding RNA, 797 nt
Filed under: Sus scrofa (pig)
Lineage: Eukaryota; Metazoa; Chordata; Mammalia; Artiodactyla; Suidae
Description: lncRNA (ENSSSCG00000059628.1)
Source: RNAcentral
CGUGUAUGUAAAAUAGUUUCACUUGGCCGUACACCUGAAAUUAACACAACAUUAUAAGUCAACUAUACUCCAAUAUUUUUUUAAAAAAAGAACAAAUAUCCAAGCAAAAAGAGGAUGCAAUUUGAAUUUGAAUUUGAAUCACUCUAAACAUAUUAAUACAGUAUUUCUGCUAGUUAAAACCAAACCAAAAAAUAAAUAAAUAAAUAAAUAAAUAAACCUUUAGCCUCCUAGGCCUUCCCUGAGUUUCAGAACAAAUUUAAUCAGAGAAGUGAGAAAAUUCAGAAAUAAAGGAAAACCGUCAAGCAAGACAAACUAAGAAGAGUUUAGCCAUUCGACAAAGUCAAGGACCUCAAGAACCUUAAGUUCCUCCUCAAGGACUACAGGUGUGAUGACCGUUUUUAACUCCACGGCGAUUUUGAAGACCAGGAACGUUCAUGGGAAACACGUUCCAUUUGAUGUGAGCGUCUCCUCUGAGUUUCCUUGUGGUGUCUGCCUCCCAAAGCCUUCUUCCUCCCUCCUCCGUACCUGAUCAAGCACAGGUGAAGGAAUGAAGUCAUUGCUCUAGACCUGCCACCCAAGAGUCAGGAUGCAGACACAUCACCAAAGACUUAAGAGAGACAGAAGAAAUGCCUUCUCCACGGGCAGAUGGAGUGAGCAGUGUAGAAUCCAUCACCACAGUUCAAGGCAUCUCAGAGACUCAUUUCUGAAGCCAGGGCAGAAGAAUCGUGCUGCAUCUCUACAGAAACGAACUGGGACUGGUGGAUCAACAGUUAUUACAGAAGUUGAAAGAAGGAAGG